Molecule: ribosomal RNA, 324 nt
Filed under: uncultured bacterium
Lineage: Bacteria
Description: bacterial SSU rRNA
Rfam family: Bacterial small subunit ribosomal RNA
Source: RNAcentral
GAUGAACGCUGGCGGCGUGCUUAACACAUGCAAGUCGAGCGGGGCGCAUCUGCGGAAUUUUUCGGAAGGAAGCGGAUGCGCUUAGCGGCGGACGGGUGAGUAACGCGUGGGCAACCUGCCUCAUACGGGGGGAUAACAGUUAGAAAUGACUGCUAAUACCGCAUAAGCGCACGAGGGCCGCAUGGCCCGGUGUGAAAAACUCCGGUGGUAUGGGAUGGACCUGCGUCUGAUUAGCUUGUUGGCGGGGUAACGGCCCACCAAGGCGACGAUCAGUAGCCGACCUGAGAGGGUGGCCGGCCACAUUGGGACUGAGACACGGCCCAA